GGGCCCGUCGUCCAAUGGCAGGACAGCAGUCUCCAAAACUGUUAAUGAGUGUUCGACUCACUCCGGGCCUG
This 71-nucleotide transfer RNA is filed under the name Candidatus Woesebacteria bacterium. RNAcentral describes it as "tRNA-Trp". It matches the Rfam family "tRNA". From Rfam's summary of the family: Transfer RNA (tRNA) molecules are approximately 80 nucleotides in length. Their secondary structure includes four short double-helical elements and three loops (D, anti-codon, and T loops). Further hydrogen bonds mediate the characteristic L-shaped molecular structure. tRNAs have two regions of fundamental functional importance: the anti-codon, which is responsible for specific mRNA codon recognition, and the 3' end, to which the tRNAs corresponding amino acid is attached (by aminoacyl-tRNA synthetases). tRNAs cope with the degeneracy of the genetic code in two manners: having more than one tRNA (with a specific anti-codon) for a particular amino acid; and 'wobble' base-pairing, i.e. permitting non-standard base-pairing at the 3rd anti-codon position. Lineage: Bacteria; Candidatus Woeseibacteriota. The record is from RNAcentral.